AGACUUACCUGGCAGAGGAGACACCAUGAUCGAAAAGGUGAUUUUCGUAGGGUGAGGCUUCCCAUUGCUCUUAUGUGCUAAGCUCUGCGAUUUCCGCAAACGUGGGGAAUUGGACUGCAUAAUUUGUGGUAGUGCAGGACUACAUUCAUGCUCUGCCCUGUA
This 162-nucleotide small nuclear RNA is filed under the name Dasypus novemcinctus (nine-banded armadillo). RNAcentral's name for it is "U1 spliceosomal RNA (ENSDNOG00000028359.1)". It matches the Rfam family "U1 spliceosomal RNA". Rfam says of the family: U1 is a small nuclear RNA (snRNA) component of the spliceosome (involved in pre-mRNA splicing). Its 5' end forms complementary base pairs with the 5' splice junction, thus defining the 5' donor site of an intron. Lineage: Eukaryota; Metazoa; Chordata; Mammalia; Cingulata; Dasypodidae. The record is from RNAcentral.